UCACAUAGAAAACAUAGAAAAUCCGUCUCAUCUAUCCCUCAAGUUACGUUCUUCAUCCACAUAGAAAACAACAAAAAGGUUUAUCCUCUAUCCCUCAAAUUCAUUGCUGCUUUAGAUAGAUCGAUAAGAAAUUGACAGCGUCCCUCUUCUAUUUCAAUUGGGUAUUCUAAUACUUGAUUUGCAGCUCAAAUUCACACUCAACUUGCUUGUCAGCACAUUCACCAGCAGAAGGCAAAUUUUUGGGUUAAUCAAGAUAAAAAAAUUGAGAUUUCUUGGUCAUCUGGUACCUUUAGAAAUAUAUUAUUUACGCCAUGGACAUCCAUCUGAAAUGGAAAGUGGUUGUGUGAUCUAAGUGUGAUGAAAGGAAGAGAUGAUUAGUUGGAGGUAAUAUGUGGCUGCACCAGUCCCCUUUUAGGAUAUAUAUAUAUAUAUUAUUUGAAUUAAAUGCAUGUUGUUGAUUCUAUCAUGUGCUUAUGAUUUUGUUUUUGUGCUUAUUCAAGUUGAGGAUCUAUCGAAAUUCUCUCUAUCUUUACAAGGUAGAGAUAAGAAUGAGUAUGUUAUUGUUGAUACUUAUUUGUGGGAUGAGCUAUUUUAAA
Long non-coding RNA from Solanum dulcamara, 596 nucleotides. RefSeq lists it as uncharacterized. Lineage: Eukaryota; Viridiplantae; Streptophyta; Magnoliopsida; Solanales; Solanaceae. The transcript has 3 exons. The record is from RefSeq and is a predicted model, not a curated record.